RNAcentral lists this long non-coding RNA (1108 nucleotides) under Coturnix japonica (Japanese quail). Its description in RNAcentral is "lncRNA (ENSCJPG00005001173.1)". Lineage: Eukaryota; Metazoa; Chordata; Aves; Galliformes; Phasianidae. The record is from RNAcentral.
CUAUGGGGUCUUUUGGGUCCCUAUGGGGUCUUUGGGGUCCCUAUAGGGUUACAUUGGGGUCCCUAUGGGGUCUUUGGGGUCCCUAUAGGGUUACAUUGGGGUCUCUAUGGGGUCACUUUGGGAUCUAUGGGGUCCCUAUGGGAUCAAUGGGGUUCUAUGGGGGGAUGGCAGCGUCCAAUGGGAUCGCCCGUUGGCUCAAAGCCCCGCCCCCUUUUACCCCCCCCCAUUCUCCCAUAGGCUGUUGGGGUUGGGCCGCGUGUUGCGUUACGCGCAGGCGCAGUGGCUGGCGGAUAUCCGGCGCCAUCAACUUCCGGCGCUGCUGGGCGGAAUGGCGCCGGUCCGGGCCGUGAUCGGCAUGUGUGAGUGUGGGCCGGAACCAUAGAGACACCAUAGAGAUCAAUAGAGCGCCCCCUAGCGGCUCGGAGGACUCAUUGCAACCCAUAGGGAUCAAUAGAGCGCCCCCUAGCGGCUCGGAGGACUCAUUGCAACCCAUAAGGAUCAAUAGAGACCCCAUUGAGAUCAAUAGAUCGCCCCCUAGCGGCUCGGAGGACUUAUUGCAAUCCAUAAGGAUCAAUAGAGACCCCAUUGAGAUCAAUAGAGCGCCCCCUAGCGGCUCGGAGGACUCAUUGCAAUCCUUAGGGAUUAAUAGGGAGACAUUGAGACCCCAUAGAGAUAUAUAGAGACCCCAUAGAGAUACAUAGGGACCCAUAGGGACACAUAGAGACCCCAUAGAGACCCAUAGGGACCCCAUAGACCCUAUAGAGACCCAUAGCUGGCUCAUAGCUGACCCAUAGAGACCCUAUAGAGAUACAGAGAGGCCCCAUUGACCCCAUAGAGACACAUAGGGACACAUAGAGACCCCAUAGAGACACAUAGGGACACAUAGAGACCCCAUAGAGAGCUAUAGGGACGCAUAGGGACCCCAUAGGGACACAUAGGGACACAUAGAGACACAUAGAGACCCCAUAGGGACACAUAGAGACCCCAUACAGACACAUAGAGACCCCAUAGAGACCCCAUAGAGACCCAUAGAGACCCCAUAGCAGACCCAUAGCUGACCCACAUCACAACCCAGACCCACAGCAGACCCACAUCUGACCCACAUGGG